This 67-nucleotide transfer RNA is filed under the name Empoascanara angkhangica. Its description in RNAcentral is "tRNA-Ser". The record is from RNAcentral. Lineage: Eukaryota; Metazoa; Arthropoda; Insecta; Hemiptera; Cicadellidae.
AAGAGAUAUUGAAAUAAAAACAGCUGCUAACUAGUUUUUAAAGCGGUUAAAUUCCGUUUGUCUCUUA